This 797-nucleotide unclassified non-coding RNA is filed under the name Hevea brasiliensis (rubber tree). Lineage: Eukaryota; Viridiplantae; Streptophyta; Magnoliopsida; Malpighiales; Euphorbiaceae. The record is from RNAcentral.
GAGAGAGAGAGAUCAAUUAUGCUUCUAGCAUUUGUCAAAAAAAAAAUUAAAGCAGCUAUGCAACUCAAUCGUGAACAAAUUCAACUCUUUUGGUCUUCAUCUCUCUCAGCCUCUAUCUAUCUGUCUAUCAAAAUAUUACUGAAACACAUUUGAGAAAUACAAUUAUCUAGUCACUGGUAAAUUGAAAUCCAAUUUCUGACCAAAGCCCAUGCAUGGAUUUGGCUCUUCCAAUUAUGGACAACAGGAAAGGGUGGCCAAAAAUAGUCCACAGCAAUAAGUGGAACAACAACUGCAAAAUUAAGGAAAAUAUUAAGUUAUUAAUGAACAGGCAACACAAUAGAGCUCCAAAAACCCAAAAAAUGUACAGGAAGAAAAUUGAUGGUUUUCCUCCAUGGAGUACAAAUGAAAUUAUCUAAUUACAAAUAUCAACUAGGAUGGCCUCGGUCAGCACGCUUAUAGUUGGGGAUCAAGGGUUUGAGACCCUCUCUCCAAAAGAAAUAACAAAUCAUGAGUUCAACUCGCCAAAGCCUACCAACUAACAUGGAUGAUAUAUACUGUCAAAGCUAUAAAAUUUAAAAUUUUGAAGUCAGAGUACAUACAAACUGAUAUAUUACACAAAGAAAAAAAAAUCCUUUACAUUUAAAAAUCAAGAAGAUAUUAUAAUAUUAAUCAUCCUUCAACAUAUUUUGCAUGCUGUCUAUAGAAACAGUUAAUAUCAACCAUUCUAUUUUUUGAAUAGAUAUCAUGUGAACGUGGAUUACAAAGCUCUUCAAUACAUAAUAACUUAGUUUAUUACC